CCUACGGGAGGCAGCAGUGAGGAAUAUUGGACAAUGGAGGCAACUCCUGAUCCAGCCAUGCCGCGUGCAGGAAGACUGCCCUAUGGGUUGUAAACUGCUUUUAUACAGGAAGAAACACUCCCUCGUGAGGGAGCUUGACGGUACUGUAAGAAUAAGGAUCGGCUAACUCCGUGCCAGCAGCCGCGGUAAUACGGAGGAUCCAAGCGUUAUCCGGAAUCAUUGGGUUUAAAGGGUCCGUAGGUGGAUAAUUAAGUCAGAGGUGAAAGUUUGCAGCUCAACUGUAAAAUUGCCUUUGAUACUGGUUAUCUUGAGUUAUUGUGAAGUAGUUAGAAUAUGUAGUGUAGCGGUGAAAUGCAUAGAUAUUACAUAGAAUACCAAUUGCGAAGGCAGAUUACUAACAAUAUACUGACACUGAUGGACGAAAGCGUGGGUAGCGAACAGGAUUAGAUACCCUGGUAG
Molecule: ribosomal RNA, 459 nt
Filed under: uncultured bacterium
Lineage: Bacteria
Description: bacterial SSU rRNA
Rfam family: Bacterial small subunit ribosomal RNA
Source: RNAcentral